Bufo bufo (common toad) is the source of this 184-nucleotide long non-coding RNA. RefSeq lists it as uncharacterized. The record is from RefSeq and is a predicted model, not a curated record. NCBI's taxonomy places the organism in Eukaryota, Metazoa, Chordata, Amphibia, Anura, Bufonidae. The transcript is spliced from 3 exons.
AAUGAAAUAAAACAAACGACCAGGCUAGCCAGAACACCGCUGGAAAGAAAAGUGUAUACAAUUGAUGACAUCGCGACACUCUCCGAUGAUGCCCUACAAAAGCGUCGCAAGCGGGGAAAAGAGCCGUUGAAAAGAAAAAUGGCCACGACCGGGGUCUCCAAAGCGGUAUCAAAGAAAUCUAACA